This 746-nucleotide ribosomal RNA is filed under the name uncultured bacterium. RNAcentral describes it as "bacterial SSU rRNA". It matches the Rfam family "Bacterial small subunit ribosomal RNA", at positions 757 to 1502 of the family's 1533-position model. The record is from RNAcentral.
ACGUGGGGAGACAAACAGGAAUUAGAUACCCUGGUAGUCCCCGCCCGUAAACGAUGUCUACUUGGAGGUUGUGGCCCUGAGCCGUGGCUUUUGGAGCUAACGCGUUAAGUAGACCGCCUGGGGAGUACGGUCGCAAGAUUAAAACUCAAAUGAAUUGACGGGGGCCCGCACAAGCGGUGGAGCAUGUGGUUUAAUUCGAUGCAACGCGAAGAACCUUACCUACUCUUGACAUCUACAGAAGCCAGCGGAGACGCAGGUGUGCCUUCGGGAACUGUAAGACAGGUGCUGCAUGGCUGUCGUCAGCUCGUGUUGUGAAAUGUUGGGUUAAGUCCCGCAACGAGCGCAACCCUUAUCCUUGUUUGCCAGCACUUCGGGUGGGAACUCCAGGGAGACUGCCGGUGAUAAACCGGAGGAAGGUGGGGACGACGUCAAGUCAUCAUGGCCCUUACGAGUAGGGCUACACACGUGCUACAAUGGCGCAUACAGAGGGCGGCCAACUUGCGAAAGUGAGCGAAUCCCAAAAAGUGCGUCGUAGUCCGGAUUGGAGUCUGCAACUCGACUCCAUGAAGUCGGAAUCGCUAGUAAUCGUGGAUCAGAAUGCCACGGUGAAUACGUUCCCGGGCCUUGUACACACCGCCCGUCACACCAUGGGAGUGGGCUGCAAAAGAAGUGGGUAGUUUAACCUUCGGGAGGACGCUCACCACUUUGUGGUUCAUGACUGGGGUGAAGUCGUAACAAGGUAACCG